AUUGAACGCUGGCGGCAGGCCUAACACAUGCAAGUCGAGCGGAAACGAGUUAUCUGAACCUUCGGGGAACGAUAACGGCGUCGAGCGGCGGACGGGUGAGUAAUGCCUAGGAAAUUGCCCUGAUGUGGGGGAUAACCAUUGGAAACGAUGGCUAAUACCGCAUGAUGCCUACGGGCCAAAGAGGGGGACCUUCGGGCCUCUCGCGUCAGGAUAUGCCUAGGUGGGAUUAGCUAGUUGGUGAGGUAAGGGCUCACCAAGGCGACGAUCCCUAGCUGGUCUGAGAGGAUGAUCAGCCACACUGGAACUGAGACACGGUCCAGACUCCUACGGGAGGCAGCAGUGGGGAAUAUUGCACAAUGGGCGCAAGCCUGAUGCAGCCAUGCCGCGUGUAUGAAGAAGGCCUUCGGGUUGUAAAGUACUUUCAGUCGUGAGGAAGGUAGUGUAGUUAAUAGCUGCAUUAUUUGACGUUAGCGACAGAAGAAGCACCGGCUAACUCCGUGCCAGCAGCCGCGGUAAUACGGAGGGUGCGAGCGUUAAUCGGAAUUACUGGGCGUAAAGCGCAUGCAGGUGGUUUGUUAAGUCAGAUGUGAAAGCCCGGGGCUCAACCUCGGAAUAGCAUUUGAAACUGGCAGACUAGAGUACUGUAGAGGGGGGUAGAAUUUCAGGUGUAGCGGUGAAAUGCGUAGAGAUCUGAGGGAAUACCGGUGGCGAAGGCGGCCCCCUGGACAGAUACUGACACUCAGAUGCGAAAGCGUGGGGAGCAAACAGG
Molecule: ribosomal RNA, 769 nt
Filed under: uncultured Pseudoalteromonadaceae bacterium
Lineage: Bacteria; Pseudomonadati; Pseudomonadota; Gammaproteobacteria; Alteromonadales; Pseudoalteromonadaceae
Description: bacterial SSU rRNA
Rfam family: Bacterial small subunit ribosomal RNA
Source: RNAcentral